Molecule: transfer RNA, 68 nt
Filed under: Tachina punctocincta
Lineage: Eukaryota; Metazoa; Arthropoda; Insecta; Diptera; Tachinidae
Description: tRNA-Trp
Rfam family: tRNA
About the family: Transfer RNA (tRNA) molecules are approximately 80 nucleotides in length.
Source: RNAcentral
AAGGCUUUAAGUUAAAUAAACUAAUAGCCUUCAAAGCUAUAAAUAUAAGAAUACUCUUUUAAGCCUUA